This 458-nucleotide ribosomal RNA is filed under the name uncultured bacterium. RNAcentral's name for it is "partial 16S ribosomal RNA". It matches the Rfam family "Bacterial small subunit ribosomal RNA", at positions 338 to 795 of the family's 1533-position model. The record is from RNAcentral.
CCUACGGGUGGCAGCAGUGAGGAAUAUUGGUCAAUGGGCGAGAGCCUGAACCAGCCAAGUCGCGUGAGGGAGUACUGCCCUAUGGGUUGUAAACCUCUUUUGUCGGGGAGCAAAAGCCGGACGUGUCCGGCUGUGAGAGUACCCGAAGAAAAAGCAUCGGCAAACUCCGUGCCAGCAGCCGCGGUAAUACGGAGGAUGCGAGCGUUAUCCGGUUUUAUUGGGUUUAAAGGGUGCGCAGGCGGAUUUUUAAGUCAGCGGUAAAAUCGUGGGGCUCAACCCCAUCCAGCCGUUGAAACUGGGGAUCUAGAGUGUGCGAGAGGUAUGCGGAAUGCGUGGUGUAGCGGUGAAAUGCAUAGAUAUCACGCAGAACCCCGAUUGCGAAGGCAGCAUACCGGUGCACAACUGACGCUCAGGCACGAAAGCGUGGGUAUCGAACAGGAUUAGAUACCCUUGUAGUC